GUUGAGGUGGCAGAGUAGCUAUGCAAAAGACCUAAGCUCUUUUAACAGGGGUUCAACUCCCCUCCUCUACC
RNAcentral lists this transfer RNA (71 nucleotides) under Rhineura floridana. Its description in RNAcentral is "tRNA-Leu". It matches the Rfam family "tRNA". Rfam says of the family: Transfer RNA (tRNA) molecules are approximately 80 nucleotides in length. Their secondary structure includes four short double-helical elements and three loops (D, anti-codon, and T loops). Further hydrogen bonds mediate the characteristic L-shaped molecular structure. tRNAs have two regions of fundamental functional importance: the anti-codon, which is responsible for specific mRNA codon recognition, and the 3' end, to which the tRNAs corresponding amino acid is attached (by aminoacyl-tRNA synthetases). tRNAs cope with the degeneracy of the genetic code in two manners: having more than one tRNA (with a specific anti-codon) for a particular amino acid; and 'wobble' base-pairing, i.e. permitting non-standard base-pairing at the 3rd anti-codon position. Lineage: Eukaryota; Metazoa; Chordata; Lepidosauria; Squamata; Rhineuridae. The record is from RNAcentral.